Molecule: non-coding RNA, 216 nt
Organism: Pelobates cultripes (western spadefoot toad)
Lineage: Eukaryota; Metazoa; Chordata; Amphibia; Anura; Pelobatidae
Source: the annotation of a GenBank genome assembly
GUCAGAUAUACUUAAAUCAACAGUAUAAAUCAUCUUGUCAAGAAAUUAACAGUCCUUCCUUCCUUCCUCCCUCCCUUCCUGUCUUUUUCUUUCUUUUUUCCUCUCUCCUUCCUUUCUUCCUUCUUUUCUUUCUUUCUAACUCACCAUAUAUCACUGCUAAUGUAACAAAUUCCAGUGUUGUAAGUUUGUAUUCAUAAAAUGUCCAUGCACACAGGG